GUCGCGAGGCCGAAUCUGAAGGAAGUCGGCGGCAAACGUCUGGCCUGACGAACAGAACCUUUAGCUCAUCGACCGCAGGGAGAUAAACUUGAUAUCAAGGCAGUCCAAGGUGGGUAAGGUUGCGAAAGAAACCGAAGCCCGAUAGCUAUACGGAACCGCGGCUGUAAAUCAAGCAGGUAUAAGGCGGAAAGA
RNAcentral lists this non-coding RNA (192 nucleotides) under human gut metagenome. The record is from RNAcentral.